GCGGGCGUAGUUCAAUGGCAGAACCUCAGUUUUCCAAACUGAUGACGAGGGUUCGAUUCCCUUCGCCCGCU
RNAcentral lists this transfer RNA (71 nucleotides) under Elusimicrobiota bacterium. RNAcentral describes it as "tRNA-Gly". It matches the Rfam family "tRNA". Rfam says of the family: Transfer RNA (tRNA) molecules are approximately 80 nucleotides in length. Their secondary structure includes four short double-helical elements and three loops (D, anti-codon, and T loops). Lineage: Bacteria; Pseudomonadati; Elusimicrobiota. The record is from RNAcentral. RNAcentral also lists the same sequence under 2 other names.